RNAcentral lists this ribosomal RNA (467 nucleotides) under uncultured bacterium. RNAcentral describes it as "partial 16S ribosomal RNA". It matches the Rfam family "Bacterial small subunit ribosomal RNA", at positions 29 to 507 of the family's 1533-position model. The record is from RNAcentral.
ACGCACGCUGGCGGCGUGCUUCACCCAUGCCAGUCGCACGGAAAGGCCCUGCUUUUGUGGGGUGCUCGAGUGGCGAACGGGUGAGUAACACGUGAGUAACCUGCCCUUGACUUUGGGAUAACUUCAGGAAACUGGGGCUAAUACCGGAUAGGAGCUCCUGCUGCAUGGUGGGGGUUGGAAAGUUUCGGCGGUUGGGGAUGGACUCGCGGCUUAUCAGCUUGUUGGUGGGGUAGUGGCUUACCAAGGCUUUGACGGGUAGCCGGCCUGAGAGGGCGACCGGCCACAUUGGGACUGAGAUACGGCCCAGACUCCUACGGGAGGCAGCAGUGGGGAAUAUUGCACAAUGGGCGGAAGCCUGAUGCAGCAACGCCGCGUGCGGGAUGACGGCCUUCGGGUUGUAAACCGCUUUCGCCUGUGACGAAGCGUGAGUGACGGUAAUGGGUAAAGAAGCACCGGCUAACUACGUG